GUAUUCUGCACGGACUGCUGGGCAGCACUAGCACUCUGGAGAAGGUCUGCCGCUGUCUGCACUUUCCUGGUUCUAUGCAGGCAGAUGAGUGUCACAGCUGUAACUGAGGCACAGAGCAGUACACACAGUGGAGCCGAUUUCCGCGAUGGCGAGAGGGGGCACCGGAGGUGACAACAAUAACAAGACUGUCCUUCGGACAAGUUUUAGAUUCUCAGGAUGAUGGAGUGAGUGAUGGAAUAGGUUGCCAACUGUAGUUACUCCACUCAGCACAGAAUGGCUGCGGGGAAAUAUAAUCAGACAUGCCCAAAGAAGUCUGCUUAGGGUGAAACAAAUACCUUUGAGGUUUAAAUCAGGAAGGAGAGACUGUUUCUACAGGUGUCAUACAAAAAUCAAUACUGAGCCAAGGAUUAUUGGAUCCCAUAGAACCACGGAGACUUGGUAGUGAAAUUCUUCCAAAGCAUUCCAUCCGUGCAGGCAGAUGGUGUUCCUAGGUUUGGAAAUAUAAAUCCCAUGGGAAGUCAGCUGAAGACCAUUUUAUGCAUCACUCAUCCUGUUAGAGCCCUGUGCUGUUCUGUCUCUCUAUAAGACUGGCUGAAACCACCACGGUUGUUUACAAUUUAUGCUCUAACUUUGGAUCACCUAGUUAAUACUCUAACUCCGAUUAUUACCAAAGACAAUGUUCUAUAAAAGAUAUUGUCUAUUAGAAGGAUGCUUCUGCAUUAUUAAUAAAAUCACAGGGAAAAUGCAACAUUUUGGAUGUCACAUCUGAUAAGUUGGCAGUUAAAGAACAGAAACAGCAAUAAGACUGCGUGGCUACAUUUUCCCAGUGCCACCAACUGGGAUUUAAGCUGACUAACAUUUUGAAAGCCCAGCCCAUUUCAUUCACAGCAGGAUGGCAGUGGGUGACUGAUCGUACCCGCCAGCUGGCUAAUGUCAUAAUUAACAAAGUUGCUACUACAUCUGCAAAGUUUAAUCGAAAAAUUUGCCAGUGAUAUGAUGGCCUUGUCACAGAGAUCACAAGGGACACGGAGUUGACUUUUGCUCAAGGUGGAACGACAGAGCUGUGUAGGCAAGAUGAGAAAUUGCGAACUUGUUCGGCCAAAGGAGGCUAAUAAUGAAGGGGCCGGGAAGGAGGCCAGUGCUACCAGGGUUAUCUCACAACCUCAGAUGCUGGAUAAGUCGACGGAGGCAGAAUCGCUUUGGGAUGACAUUCAGAAAGCCUGGAGUGAUUACUUGCAAGAGAAAAGCCUACCUAUUCUUUCCAAGGUGCAGGAAUAUUCCCCUGACCUGCUCAUCCAGUGGUCCAGUAAUGAAUUACUGGAGACCUGCCUUAGACAAAGAAUGCACUCGGAGCCCCAACACACCUAAAGCCAUGCUUUGAAGGAUCUGCCAAGCUCACUUUUAAUCAUGAGAAAGAAAUUACCCACACGGAGUCAGCAGAAAAUGAGAAAGUAGAGCUCGUGCUGUGAAUAAUUCCAGCAAGUGCCAAGGGGCUAGUUGAGGAAUGGCUUCAUGAGAUGUUAGUCUAAAACAGCACCUUGGAUCUAAGCAGCACCUUUGAGAAAGAAAAGACUGCUUCAAGAAUGUCUAGUUGCACCUCCUUUCCGUAUGUGGCCUAAAUGCCUAGGUUGGAUCAAUAGUUUAAUUUUUUUAUUGAACUGUUUAAUAUUGACUAUGGACUUACAUUCACUUUUACUGUUUUCUGUAUAUUUACUUUUGCUUGAAGUGUUUUAAUAUUGACUAUUUACCUCUGCUCAUUUUUAUUGAUUUUCUGUAUUUUUUCAAUGAAAAUUAUAAUAAAAAUUAUUUUUGUUA
Molecule: long non-coding RNA, 1815 nt
Filed under: Homo sapiens (human)
Lineage: Eukaryota; Metazoa; Chordata; Mammalia; Primates; Hominidae
Source: RNAcentral